This 317-nucleotide ribosomal RNA is filed under the name Salmonella enterica subsp. enterica. RNAcentral's name for it is "partial 16S ribosomal RNA". It matches the Rfam family "Bacterial small subunit ribosomal RNA", at positions 1227 to 1533 of the family's 1533-position model. Lineage: Bacteria; Pseudomonadati; Pseudomonadota; Gammaproteobacteria; Enterobacterales; Enterobacteriaceae. The record is from RNAcentral.
ACAAUGGCGCAUACAAAGAGAAGCGACCUCGCGAGAGCAAGCGGACCUCAUAAAGUGCGUCGUAGUCCGGAUUGGAGUCUGCAACUCGACUCCAUGAAGUCGGAAUCGCUAGUAAUCGUGGAUCAGAAUGCCACGGUGAAUACGUUCCCGGGCCUUGUACACACCGCCCGUCACACCAUGGGAGUGGGUUGCAAAAGAAGUAGGUAGCUUAACCUUCGGGAGGGCGCUUACCACUUUGUGAUUCAUGACUGGGGUGAAGUCGUAACAAGGUAACCGUAGGGGAACCUGCGGUUGGAUCACCUCCUUACCUUAAAGAA